GCAGAGAUCGUGGUGUAGUGGAUAACGUCACGGUCUUCAACGCCGACGGCCGGGGUUCGAACCCCGUAUGUGCU
Molecule: transfer RNA, 74 nt
Filed under: Alosa alosa (allis shad)
Lineage: Eukaryota; Metazoa; Chordata; Actinopteri; Clupeiformes; Clupeidae
Description: tRNA-Ser
Source: RNAcentral